GGCACCUGCGUAUGCUAACAUCUUGCAGAGGCCCUCCUGUUUGAAAAUAAAAUCCUAUGUUCCUGAUAGAAGGAUCAUCUCAGAAGAUAUCCUCUCGCUGUUCUAGCUAGCAUGAAUAAACAUAUAUGAAAUAAUGAACAUCAAUGAAGUAAAUACUUGGGUGAUCGUACCAACAGCUGCAAAGAAAAAAAAAUGGAAGCAAGAAAGGAAAUGCACACAGCGAGCGCAGCGCAAGGGAUAUCCCCCCUCCCACACAGGCCACAGCGUUGAGGCCGUUUUUGUCCCUUCUGGUGGUGGGCUGCGAAGGCCCAGGCGAAGGCGUCGUGGGACGAAACGGGGCGCAGAAAAAAGUGAUGACAUGGCUGCAGAAAAGGCCAGAAAAAUGACGUGGUGGGGAUCCCUCUCUUAGAUAUAGA
RNAcentral lists this long non-coding RNA (416 nucleotides) under Brachypodium distachyon (stiff brome). RNAcentral's name for it is "long non-coding RNA (BDIS_LNC001138)". The record is from RNAcentral. Lineage: Eukaryota; Viridiplantae; Streptophyta; Magnoliopsida; Poales; Poaceae.